CCUGGAAUGGUAUUUAGAUCUCAGAAGUACACUGCAGGAGGGUAAGUCUUCACUGAGACAUCAGUCAUAGAAAUGAGGAAUGCUGAUGACAAAUUGAAAUGUCAGCAUUAUCAGCAGUUUUGUUGGAAGCUGUUUGAUACUGAUUUAACGAUAAAACAAGAAAUAGGACAAAUGUGCCCUGGAAAGGUGGGGAUGCUGACUUGGGAAACUAGGCUGAAAUGAAAGCAAAGGAAAAGGAAAAUAAAUAUUAGGCCAAGUGUGCGAAAUGUAAUAACUCUGGAGUCUUCCCCAGAGGAAACGAUGAAAUGCCUCAGUAGAUGCAAAGGAGGACAGAUGUAUUAUCACACAUGUGAGUGCCAGGAUUCAGCAUCUAAGAUGCAGGGAGGUGGCUACCUGUACAUCUCUCUAUGUAACUGCACCUCACUAUGAAGCUGGGAAAACUAGUGUCUGCAACUAGUCAGCUGGUUUCUUGAUCCAUUAUCCUUCUAGCUCAUCUGUUAUUGAUCUUUUGAAUAUUGGAGAACCCAUGAGAUCUGGAAAGAAGGGUGUGCAAAAAUGAAGGCAACAUUUUUUUUUUAAUUUAAAUGUAUUUACGAAUUUCUUAUUUUAGUAGGGAAGCUGCCCUU
This 626-nucleotide long non-coding RNA is filed under the name Bos taurus (domestic cattle). RNAcentral describes it as "long non-coding RNA NONBTAT015444". The record is from RNAcentral. Lineage: Eukaryota; Metazoa; Chordata; Mammalia; Artiodactyla; Bovidae.